UACGGGGGGUGCGAGCGUUGUCCGGAGUCACUGGGCGUAAAGGGCGCGUAGGUGGUUUGAUAAGGGUGUGGUGAAAGUCCGGAGCUCAACUCCGGAUCUGCCGUGCCGACUGUCAAACUCGAGGGCUGUAGAGGCAGACGGAAUUCCGGGUGUAGCGGUGGAAUGCGUAGAGAUCCGGAGGAAGACCGGUGGCGAAGGCGGUCUGCUGGGCAGUUUCUGACACUGAGGCGCGACAGCGUGGGGAGCAAACAGG
This 253-nucleotide ribosomal RNA is filed under the name uncultured bacterium. RNAcentral describes it as "partial 16S ribosomal RNA". It matches the Rfam family "Bacterial small subunit ribosomal RNA", at positions 524 to 776 of the family's 1533-position model. The record is from RNAcentral.